This is a long non-coding RNA of Gadus macrocephalus (Pacific cod), 400 nucleotides long. RefSeq lists it as uncharacterized. NCBI's taxonomy places the organism in Eukaryota, Metazoa, Chordata, Actinopteri, Gadiformes, Gadidae. The record is from RefSeq and is a predicted model, not a curated record. The transcript is spliced from 3 exons.
ACAGCAUUUUUCAAAAGUUUAUAGCGCUGGACGGCAUUAGAGUCGGAAAUAAAGGGUUGAUUUGAAAAGUGAAGGUUUCCGAAAGAAGCUGGAGAAAAUGGAGUCGAACUCGCAACUUGGCGUUCGCCAAGACAAGCUGGACGGGCGGACGAUCAAUAACUUGAUAUGGAACAAAGCGUAUUACUUAUGCCCUCGCUGCCGCUAUCUGCCAAAGAGCGCCAUCUACGGGCUACCGAUUGGGUGUUGUUACCCCGUCCCACCACAGGACCCUGAAGCAAGCCCUGGCAGCCUGGGGAAGCCACCACAAGGAAAACGACGAUGAUAACUGCAACGAUGGAGCUGAACCUAUGUAGGAGGACAUAAUGAAAACUAAAUUAAAUGAAUAAAGGUCUGAAAUGUA